RNAcentral lists this unclassified non-coding RNA (2178 nucleotides) under Leishmania donovani. Its description in RNAcentral is "gene:unknown". The record is from RNAcentral. Lineage: Eukaryota; Euglenozoa; Kinetoplastea; Trypanosomatida; Trypanosomatidae.
CUGCGUGGGCUCACGAGCCUUCCCGGUGUCGCGAAUAUGCCGCAUGGGAGCCCUCACGAUGGGUUUGAUGGUCGCGAGCGCGAGGUGUGCUUGCUGCUGCGACGAUGAGACAAGAGAGAGCGGGGAAGAGGGCUAAUGAAUGGGCUCGCAGGUAUGCGCACUCUACCGGCAUGCGCACAUACAGUGACGCGCGCGUGCUGAUGGCGGAUACAUGCACACACACACACACACACACACACACACACACACACAUACUGCACACAACGUAAGCUUAAGUGCGCGGCGCUAUUCUCUUCUUGUUUCAACGAUUUCUCGCUCUUGCUCUAUUUUUCUUUGCUCCUUAUUCUCUCUCUCUGUGGGUGUGCGUGGAAGUCGCACGCGCGCAACACACGUUUGAUUUCACGAUGCCGUGGAUCUUUAUGUAUUUCGGUUUCUCUUUUACCUGCUCGGCAGGUUCUUGGAGUUGAUGGCGUGCGUCUCGCCCGGAAGUGUGCGCGCGUGUCUUCUCAACGCAGACAGCAGCUGACCGGCGCUCCAUGCGUGUGGGUGAGUGAGAGAGGAAGAGCGGUGGGAUCCAGCGCGGCAGCGGAGGAGGGCAGUCGCAGAGAGAUACAUGGACGCACAUACACGUAAGGAAGCACCGCGUGCUCGCAAAUGCGUUCUGCUGCAAGAGGGGUGUGACGGGGGUAGGUGGGUCUUGGGAAGCGGAGAAGAGGUGUCGGUGGGUGCCGUUGCUGGUGCCAUCGUAGCAGGCGAAAGAACGACAGAGAAAGGGAGGAGGCGAAAGAGAAGGGGCCAACCACGAUGGCUUCUUCUCUAAGCGUAAACUCGCCGACGCUAUUCUCUCUUCUUUUGUUUCCACACCUUCCAACUCCCGUGACUACAUGCGCGUGCGGCACGCGCUGAUGGGCGCUCAUUCCUUUUUUUUUUUUCGCUUUGGUUGGGCUUGUUUGCGAGUACGUGAUGGUUUCCUGCCGGAGUUGUGCAUGGCGUCAGGGCAGGUAGCCAAGCGAAGGGAGAGCGAACUCUCUCUCUCUCUCCCGUAUUUCUAAUCUUUUCAUUUGUGUCUCUUCUCUCUUCUUCACCGCUUCCCUUUGUUUUUCUUCGGUGUCGAAGUGGUGGUGGUGGUGGUGAUGGCCGAAGGAGGAUGGAUGUUGGACAGGGGGCGGGGAGAGGUCGGCGGGGAGGUAUGCGAUAGAUACCGAAAGAGCGCACUGCAUUUGAUCUGUCUGAGAAAGACUACAAUGGAGGUGUGAAGAUACGGUGGUGAGUGCUGCGAUGGGGCUGCGCAUGUCCUCCCUCAUGUGUUGCCUGUGUCGCUUGCAGUGCUCCGUCACGCGCGACUGAGGCUUUCACUGACUGCCGCUUCUCUCUGCCGUCGUUCCCGCCACCUUCACUUGUACAAAAGCCCUACGACAGUGGCGCCAUCCAAUCAAACGCGCCCAGACAUCAAUUCACACACACACACACGCCAACAGACCGGCAGGCUGUUGCUGGAGCGGCCGGCGACUGUGAAGGCGCUUGUGCCGUCCGCGCGAUGGGCCGAGCGUCAGCGCGGCUCGCGCGCACGCCACCCGGUGCUCGCUGCCUGCUGGCGGGGAGCCUUUAUGCGACCCCGAGGGGGUGCACCCGGUGGCGGUGGGCGGGUGGGUGGAUGGGGGGGCACAAUGGGCGCGGCUGCGAGGCGGCCUGCGGGGCGCGGGUGGUGUGCCGACGUUGAGGCGGAGGCCGCGCCCCGGCGACUGUGGCGGCGCAUUGCUGGGAGGCGUGUGUGUCCCGCUGCUUCGCGCCGCGCGAUGACGGUCCUGUGCGGCCGGGCCGGGGGCCAGAGUGGUGGUGGGGGUGGCUGGGCUCAUGCUCCAUGGCGGCGAAUGACCGCGUUGAAGGGAAGGAGAAGACACAAAUUUGCGUGCCUCGCUGCUCUUGUCCAGUUUCUCGCUUCCUUUUUCAACGCGAGACGGUGGCUGCCCACCCAUUUCCGCCCCCGCUGGUGCACGACGUCGAAAGGCGUGCGUCGGUCGAGUGCGCUCUGCUGUUGGUUUGUGGUGUGUUUGUGCGUUGCACUGCAUUGUCUCGUGCCCUCUUGGCUGUGUUUCUAUGGUCUGCUGGACGUGAUGUCGCUCCCCCGAAUCUGCGGACGGCGCACAGGCGACGGCACACGCCAAGAGCAAUGAACAG